AGUGAACGCUGGCGGUAGGCCUAACACAUGCAAGUCGAACGGCAGCACAGUAAGAGCUUGCUCUUACGGGUGGCGAGUGGCGGACGGGUGAGGAAUACAUCGGAAUCUACUUUUUCGUGGGGGAUAACGUAGGGAAACUUACGCUAAUACCGCAUACGACCUACGGGUGAAAGCAGGGGAUCUUCGGACCUUGCGCGAUUGAAUGAGCCGAUGUCGGAUUAGCUAGUUGGCGGGGUAAAGGCCCACCAAGGCGACGAUCCGUAGCUGGUCUGAGAGGAUGAUCAGCCACACUGGAACUGAGACACGGUCCAGGAUCCUACGGGAGGCAGCAGUGGGGAAUAUUGGACAAAGGGCGGAAGCCUUAUCCAAGCUUACCGGGUGGGUGAAGGAGGCCUUCGGGGUGUAAAACCCUUUUGGUGGGAAAGAAAAAGAACAGGUUAAUAACCCGCUGUUCUGACGGUACCCAAAGAAAAAGCACCGGCUAACUUCGUG
Molecule: ribosomal RNA, 492 nt
Filed under: uncultured bacterium
Lineage: Bacteria
Description: partial 16S ribosomal RNA
Rfam family: Bacterial small subunit ribosomal RNA
Source: RNAcentral